Molecule: ribosomal RNA, 1507 nt
Filed under: Lacticaseibacillus paracasei
Lineage: Bacteria; Bacillati; Bacillota; Bacilli; Lactobacillales; Lactobacillaceae
Description: bacterial SSU rRNA
Rfam family: Bacterial small subunit ribosomal RNA
Source: RNAcentral
UCAGGAUGAACGCUGGCGGCGUGCCUAAUACAUGCAAGUCGAACGAGUUCUCGUUGAUGAUCGGUGCUUGCACCGAGAUUCAACAUGGAACGAGUGGCGGACGGGUGAGUAACACGUGGGUAACCUGCCCUUAAGUGGGGGAUAACAUUUGGAAACAGAUGCUAAUACCGCAUAGAUCCAAGAACCGCAUGGUUCUUGGCUGAAAGAUGGCGUAAGCUAUCGCUUUUGGAUGGACCCGCGGCGUAUUAGCUAGUUGGUGAGGUAAUGGCUCACCAAGGCGAUGAUACGUAGCCGAACUGAGAGGUUGAUCGGCCACAUUGGGACUGAGACACGGCCCAAACUCCUACGGGAGGCAGCAGUAGGGAAUCUUCCACAAUGGACGCAAGUCUGAUGGAGCAACGCCGCGUGAGUGAAGAAGGCUUUCGGGUCGUAAAACUCUGUUGUUGGAGAAGAAUGGUCGGCAGAGUAACUGUUGUCGGCGUGACGGUAUCCAACCAGAAAGCCACGGCUAACUACGUGCCAGCAGCCGCGGUAAUACGUAGGUGGCAAGCGUUAUCCGGAUUUAUUGGGCGUAAAUAAGCGAGCGCAGGCGGUUUUUUAAGUCUGAUGUGAAAGCCCUCGGCUUAACCGAGGAAGCGCAUCGGAAACUGGGAAACUUGAGUGCAGAAGAGGACAGUGGAACUCCAUGUGUAGCGGUGAAAUGCGUAGAUAUAUGGAAGAACACCAGUGGCGAAGGCGGCUGUCUGGUCUGUAACUGACGCUGAGGCUCGAAAGCAUGGGUAGCGAACAGGAUUAGAUACCCUGGUAGUCCAUGCCGUAAACGAUGAAUGCUAGGUGUUGGAGGGUUUCCGCCCUUCAGUGCCGCAGCUAACGCAUUAAGCAUUCCGCCUGGGGAGUACGACCGCAAGGUUGAAACUCAAAGGAAUUGACGGGGGCCCGCACAAGCGGUGGAGCAUGUGGUUUAAUUCGAAGCAACGCGAAGAACCUUACCAGGUCUUGACAUCUUUUGAUCACCUGAGAGAUCAGGUUUCCCCUUCGGGGGCAAAAUGACAGGUGGUGCAUGGUUGUCGUCAGCUCGUGUCGUGAGAUGUUGGGUUAAGUCCCGCAACGAGCGCAACCCUUAUGACUAGUUGCCAGCAUUUAGUUGGGCACUCUAGUAAGACUGCCGGUGACAAACCGGAGGAAGGUGGGGAUGACGUCAAAUCAUCAUGCCCCUUAUGACCUGGGCUACACACGUGCUACAAUGGAUGGUACAACGAGUUGCGAGACCGCGAGGUCAAGCUAAUCUCUUAAAGCCAUUCUCAGUUCGGACUGUAGGCUGCAACUCGCCUACACGAAGUCGGAAUCGCUAGUAAUCGCGGAUCAGCACGCCGCGGUGAAUACGUUCCCGGGCCUUGUACACACCGCCCGUCACACCAUGAGAGUUUGUAACACCCGAAGCCGGUGGCGUAACCCUUUUAGGGAGCGAGCCGUCUAAGGUGGGACAAAUGAUUAGGGUGAAGUCGUA